Molecule: microRNA precursor, 95 nt
Organism: Chlorocebus sabaeus (green monkey)
Lineage: Eukaryota; Metazoa; Chordata; Mammalia; Primates; Cercopithecidae
Source: Ensembl
ACAAUAUGCUAUUAGGUUGGUGCAAAAGUAAUUGUGGUUUUUGCUACUAAAAUAAUGGCAAAAACAACAAUUUCUUUUGCACCAACCUAUACAAA